GCCGGGGUGACGGAAUUGGCAGACGUAACGGACUUAAAAUCCGUUGAGGUGUAAACCUCGUGCGGGUUCAAGUCCCGCCCCCGGCACCA
Molecule: transfer RNA, 89 nt
Filed under: Kosmotoga sp.
Lineage: Bacteria; Thermotogati; Thermotogota; Thermotogae; Kosmotogales; Kosmotogaceae
Also listed under: 1 other name
Description: tRNA-Leu
Rfam family: tRNA
About the family: Transfer RNA (tRNA) molecules are approximately 80 nucleotides in length. Their secondary structure includes four short double-helical elements and three loops (D, anti-codon, and T loops).
Source: RNAcentral